RNAcentral lists this ribosomal RNA (538 nucleotides) under uncultured bacterium. Its description in RNAcentral is "bacterial SSU rRNA". It matches the Rfam family "Bacterial small subunit ribosomal RNA", at positions 777 to 1315 of the family's 1533-position model. The record is from RNAcentral.
AAUAGAUACCCGGGUAGUCCACGCCGUAAACGUUGGAUACUAGGUGUGGCGGUUAUACCAAUGACUGCCGUGCCGAAGCUAACGCAUUAAGUAUCCCGCCUGGGGAGUACGGCCGCAAGGCUAAAACUCAAAGGAAUUGACGGGUCCCCGCACAAGCGGCGGAGCAUGCGGCUUAAUUCGAUGCAACCCGAAGAACCUUACCUGGGUUUGACAUCACGGGAAAAGCUGUAGAAAUACAGUGUCCAUUAGGGCCCGUGACAGGUGGUGCAUGGCUGUCGUCAGCUCGUGUCGUGAGAUGUUGGGUUAAGUCCCGCAACGAGCGCAACCCUUGUCCUAUGUUGCCAGCGGUUCGGCCGGGGACUCAUAGGAGACUGCCGGGGAUAACUCGGAGGAAGGUGAGGACGACGUCAAGUCAUCAUGCCCCUUAUAUCCAGGGCUGCACGCAUGCUACAAUGGCCGGUACGACGGGCAGCGACCCCGCGAGGGUGAGCGAAUCCUAAAAAGCCGGUCCUAGUUCGGAUUGAAGUCUGCAACUCGA